GACUACUGAUGUUAGGAGAUGAAAGGUACUCACCAUGCUUGGUGGAUUCCACCUCAAAUCCAGUAUCCACAGGCUAUACACUAAGCACUAAGGAGGCAGAGGGCUAGUGAGCACCAGAGCCACCAUUGAAGAUGGAACAUCCAACUGAGGGAACCUUUGUGGGAGGAAAAAACCCUGCAUGGGAUGUACCACUCACAGAUAGCUAAAGUGGCUGAUAUGACCAAAUCCUAGCAAUGGCUAGAGAGGGCUGGACUGAGGGACAGCAUUGAAGCACUGAUCAUGGCAGCACAGGAGCAGGCCUUGAGCACCAGGGCAACAGAGGCCCAUAUCUACCAUACCAGGCAAGAUGCCAGGUGCAGGCUAUGCAAAGAGGCCACAGAAACCAUCCAGCAUCUCAAAGCAGGGUGUAAGAUAUUCACAGGGAAGGAAUACAUGAAUGCCAUAACCAAGUGGUAUAGUGUACAGAAACAUCUGUUCAGAAUACGAACUGGAGACCCUCCUGGUCAAAAUGGGAGUCACCUCCCAAGGUGGUGGAGAAUGAGAGAGCUAAGAUUUUGUGGGACUCCCAGAUACAAACAGACAAUGGUAAUGGCCAGCCAACCGGAUAUUGUGAUCACUAAUAAGCAGCAGAGGACCGCCGUUGUGAUCAAUGUGGCCAUCCCCAGUUAUGGAAACAUUAGGAUAAAAGAGCACGAGAAACUGGAGAAAUACCAAGGGUCAGGAAAAACUAGAAAGAGCAUGGAAUGUGAAGACAAUAGUAGUGCCCGUGGUCAUUGGAGCACUCAGGGCAGUAAUCCCCACUCUAGACAAGUGUCUCCAACAGAUACCUGGAGAAACAUCGGACAUCUCAGUCCAUAAGAGUGCACUCUUAGGAACAUCUAAGAUCCUAAUAAGAAUCCUCAAGCUUCUAGGCCUCUUGUAGAGGACCCAAGCGAAAUGGGGAGCCACCCUCCCUGCUCAGGACCAUGAAGGGAAGUGGUGAGGAUGGGAGGAAGGUUUGCUCUUCUCACCCGGUGCAUAAAGUGCAUAUGCUGUCUUCUCUUCACAAGAGCAGAGGUGUGGAGGGCAAAGUGUCUGAUUUGCACCACCCAGGAAUGUGAUGCUGCUGACUCAGUCCACUUUGGGAACUCUUCGGGUCCUGUUCCUGUAUCCUCAGGUCCGGGGACUCCUCGGGUCCUGUUUCUUGUCUCUGAGGGUCCAGUGGAUGUUUGUUCUGCCAGGUCUCCAGAGCGCCGCUGUGUGUUACAGCAGACUGGCCACCGCCAACUCAAGAUCCACAGUAGGUUACAGGAAUUCAGUCUCCAAAUACCUACAUCCUGUCUCCAGAGCUCACCCCGGAUUCCAGCCGGCAGCAUCAAGGUCCAAUUUGAUUUCAGGAUCAAAGUUGCAGUCUGCAACAUUGUGGGUCCAGUCUGCAGCUUCAAGGUGUCAGGGUGCUGUCUGUUUGCUCUGGUUCUGGGUAUUUUCCCACAGUUGGUGUUGGUGUCUGUGGGGGCGUGCCCCACACCUGCGGCUCGUCAGGAGCAGAUUCUGCUGGCUUCUUAAGCAGUGCAGAGACAGACGGAAGAUGCCAGAGCCUUAAACCAGUUGUGUUUUGUGUGCUUGGAUGCACUUACCUGGCCUGGAGUUUUGAUGAGAAGUUGUUCAGUGGAAGUCCUGUGCUCAGAUGUUGCUCUGGCGUUCCCCUUCAAACUUCCUAGGACAUACCUAGUUGGGGUGAGGUCCCCCCUCCCGGAUUCCACUGGCACCCUCAGCUUUCUGUACUCUGUUCGUCUGUCCCUCCUACCUGUGGAGGUUGCUUUGGGUCUCUCGCCAGUUUCCACUAGCCGCCCUCCAGUCACCACCCACAUAUCAGAGUAGACACUAGUUCCCUCAGUGCUUACUCUAUCCUGCUUGUGUUUCUCCGACUAAGGGUAAGCUGCGCACAAUCUGGCAUCUUUCUGGUUUCGAUCCAUGACUCAUUAUCUCUCUUCCCUUGGAGUUAAUCUCGCCCAGACGUUCAGGCCUCGAUCCAGGCGUCUAGCAGUUCCGAUAUGUUUUUGCACCGUGCUCCUUUAAUAAACAUCUUAAACUGUGUAUUGAUCUCCCGGACGUUUUCUGCAUGUGGGCAAAA
Long non-coding RNA from Fundulus heteroclitus (mummichog), 2113 nucleotides. RefSeq lists it as uncharacterized. NCBI's taxonomy places the organism in Eukaryota, Metazoa, Chordata, Actinopteri, Cyprinodontiformes, Fundulidae. The record is from RefSeq and is a predicted model, not a curated record. The transcript is spliced from 5 exons.